Molecule: small RNA, 507 nt
Filed under: Histoplasma capsulatum
Lineage: Eukaryota; Fungi; Ascomycota; Eurotiomycetes; Onygenales; Ajellomycetaceae
Also listed under: 1 other name
Description: hypothetical RNA
Source: RNAcentral
AAAGCCGAUAAACCUUCUUAGUCUUGUAUGCAUUGAUCUGCGUUCUACCUUGGCUUUCUGAAGUAGAUCUGUUUACCUUGUCCUUCUAUAUUUUUCUGCCCAUGAGAAGUCCAUUUGCUCAUUUUUAUCCAUAUCCCAACCGAGCUUUAAAUUUCUCCCUUAUCCUCGCUUGGUUUGGCUGUUUGUCAAUGGUUUUCUCUUUUCUCUUCUAAAUUACACAGUUCUCCCGUUACUGGCCCAAGCUCCUUUUCCAUUACCCACUUUGCGCCUUCAGUCCGGGCAGCAUUCUACACAUCCGUUGGAAUCAAGAAGAGAAACGGUAUUUCAUUCCAGGCGGCGAGCUCGCUCUUUCCCCUUUCCUUGAUAUAAACAUGACGUCUAUCGCUUCUCUCCUCAACCCGGAGCCUGAAUCGAGAGAGAGAUAUCCCCAACAGCUCCCCACGCCGUCCCCCAGCCGCUUUGCAAGAGAGUACCGCCAGUCCCCCCCUCCAAGGCAGAAAAAACAGA